Molecule: long non-coding RNA, 9284 nt
Organism: Mobula hypostoma (lesser devil ray)
Lineage: Eukaryota; Metazoa; Chordata; Chondrichthyes; Myliobatiformes; Myliobatidae
Exons: 4
Source: RefSeq, a predicted model, not a curated record
UCCACCCUUGUGAAGUCUCUGGCUAUCCAACUCGAUCUAUCUUUUUUCUCAUUUUGUACACCUCCAAGAAGUCAUCUGUCAUCCUUUUCACUUCUAAGAGAAAAACCUGACCUCACUCAACCUCUCCUCUUAAAAUACCCUCUCUCGUCCAGGCAGAAUCCUGGUUAAUUUCCUCUGCACCCUCUCUGAGGCUUCCCUAGCCUUCAUUUAACAAGAUGACUAGAACUGAACACUAUAUUCCAGGUGUGGUCUAACCAGGGUUUUAUAGAGCUGCAACAUUACUUCGCAUCUCUGGAACUCAAUCCUGACUAAUGAAGGAACCUUCUAAACCACCCUAUCAACUUGCACAGCAACCUUGAUGUAAAAUAAGAGGUGUAAAAUAGAGCUGAUUAUCAAUCAGGUACCAAUGAAUAGGUAAAGAGAAAGGGGGAAACAGAUCAGUAAAGAUGGGUCCUAGGCUGUACAGUUUUGGAUUACGAUGGGAACAGUUCUUUUGUUGAAGCCACUCUUGAGACUUGGAUUCGUGUUCAUUUCUGCUGUGUCAUUCAGUGAACUUGAUCCAAGUACCUCCCUGCUGGUCCGUGCUCUGGAAGAAAUCUCCCAGGAGGUUGGGCAUUUGGGUUGCCUUCAGAUUAAUUUACUAACCAGGACACAUGUACAAUAGCAAUUCCUCGCAUUCCAGACACAACCUGGGUGAUUUCUUUUAACUCUGUUCUCACCUCCUAGCAUCCCAACAACAAGCCACAAUGAUAGCCUCUAAGAUGAAAACCAUAACAUUCAGAGCAGAAUUAGACCAUUCAGCCCAUCAGGUCAGCUCCGCCAUUCCAUCAUGAUUGAUUUAUUAUCCCUCUGAACUCCAUUCUCCUGCCUUCUUCCCGCAACCUUUGACAUCCUUACUAAUGAAGAACCAGUAAUGCCCUGGUAAAGAUUUUACUGCUAAUGUUGUAGGGCAUUUCAUGUAAAGGUUUUUCUGGAGAAGUAGUGUGUUUUUCUGGCAGUGUUUGGGUUACCGUUAAAGAUGAUUAGGAAUGUUGUUUUCACCAAUCAGGAAGGUGGAACUGGGAGAGGGUUCUAGAGGAUGCUGGGGGAGAGGUUUUUGUGAUGGACUCUGAGGCGGGUGAUGUCUUUUUGGCGGGAGAUAAAGAUAGAAGAAGCUCGAGAGAACCAGCCGUAGGGUUUGAUCUGGCAGAAAUGCAUGAUCCAAUGAAGCGCCAGAGGGGGAAUUCUACAGGGGAUCAGUGAAUACGAGUUGGUGCCGUGAGUGUAUUGGAUACAGCCCGGCUUUUGGAAGAUUUGCACAUUUGACUGUUUAAUUAUAAUGAGCCCUUUUUUAUUAUUUCCUUUAAUAACUCUUUGAUUAAGUUUACUUUCAUAAAUAUACUUUCUUUAUAAUUGUAUGUGGUGUAUGAUCUGUUAUUUCUUGCCGAUGGGUGAUUGGAUGGGGUAGUAAAUCACAUAGCAUUCACACAAUCCAGGGUUUGGGUGGGUGAGACAUCCCAACCUCAUGGGUUUGGCAGAACCAAAGUUGUAUACACACUAGACAAAAGGGAUCUGAGAAAGGAGGCCUUCUCGCCACGGAGUCGAGAGGCUGUUAGCGACGGGCUAACAAGCUGCAUUUCUAGACACACCCAGUAAAAAGAGGCUUUGUUGUGGGAGCUAUCGUCUCGGAUUGAAUUCGUUGAAUACUUUGUGAUUGCUCGAAGAAUUGAUUAAGUAGUUUCUGUUUAAGCCUGUGUUAAAUUAUUGUCCAGGAAAGUGAUUAAGAUACGUGGUCAUGGUCGCCACAGGGACUAAGUGUUGGUGUGAUUCAAGACUAAUGCUUGUGUUCUGAGCGGGGUGGAUGUCCGCAGCCCAGGUGAAUUGUUGAUCAGGGUUUUAAGUCGAGUUGAAGUAUUAGGGAAAGUUAUGAUCAUGGAGCAGCAAUUUGACUGAAUGGCAGACACAGAUGUGGUUUUAGUUCAGACUAGUCCAUGACGGGAGUCUAUCAGCCUGUUACCAUUGGGGUCCCGGGAAAGGCAGGACCAUGGCCCUCCAUACUUUCAGAGCAGAGGGGAGUGUAAGCGAGGAUGUCAAAUUGGUAGGCGAGUUUCCUGUAGCUGAGGGCAGAGACUUUAAAGACAAGUUGCUCUCACUUCUGCAGAGUGAGGGGAAGGAGUGGUCUGAUGUGGGAGUUCUAAUGAGUCCUCAAGCGAGAGGUGAAAAUUCUUGAGUUGGUAUUGGCCUUUAAGUCCCUGGCAGAUAAAUGGCAAAGUGCACUGGUGGAGAGUCAAAGUUAUCGUAGGCUGAGGAGGUUCUUGGGAGUGAAGUCCACCCCUGUUGGGGGAGGGGAAUAUGAGUCUUGGGCGGAGCAGACAUCUCAGAUAUGGAUGAGUGGCAGUGCUCUGAUAAUAUGAAAAGACAGCAUCUGGAAGAGAGUCUAACAUGUCUGACUGCUGAAGUGGUGAGGUCCUUGAAGGCAGAGUCCUUGAAUCCCUUUGCUACUUCUGUGGGCUGCAAACAAAUGCUAGAAAGCGUUUUUGGCAUGACAGGCAGCCCAGUGGAGUUUAUGGUGGGGUUUAAGCGCAUGUUCCAGAAGAAAGGAGAGGAUCUUUCAGCCAGCAUUUUUCGGAUAGAGAGAGUCACUUUGCUUGCAGCGUAGAGGGACCAUCCAACUGGCUGAGGUGAAUCAAUUAACGAUGCACCAAAUGGCGAAGGGUGCACAGUCACGUGAUGUGAUUGCUUUCAGCCUCCGAAUGUCUCACAAGACAUUCUCACAAUGUCUUCCUCGUUUGUUGAGCUGAUCAGAGAAGUAAGGGAGGAGGAAAACGCGAUGGAGGAGUGGGAGGCCUCCGUCAGCAGGGCACAGAAACCCGGUAGUAGCUUCCAAUGCUGAAGUGACCCCUGAUGACCCACAGGCGGGGGUUUUACAGGAGUUUGUGAAAGAUUUUUGAGCUGAGAUAUCCCGGCUGUUAUCAGCAGGUGCUGUCACCAAGCAUAACAAAGCCGAUAGGGAGCCAGACCCCCUGACGGGACACACUAAGCAGAGGGCUGCUAUUGAACGGGGUCCCUUGCAAAGGGGAGCGAGCGAUAUUGUCUGUUACAACUGUGGUGAGGUGGGACAUUUCAGAUGGGAGUGUGAAAGAUGGGAAAUCCUUCGGAAAGUGAACCAAUGGUUAUUUAAACAAAGGGAAAUCAGGAAACCUCGGAGUGACCCAGUGAGGGAAUGGCCUGGCAUCUCCGGGGAGCACAUUCCAAUCAAUGUAUCAAGGAAAACACUAAAGUUCAAAAUGCUAUUCCUGAAGGCUUAGUGGGGCCAAGCUCCAGUGUAUCUCUACGGAUGAAGGGUAUUCAUGCUAGAGCCAUACUUGACACAGGUUCUCAGGUUACUCUGCUGUACAGAUCCUUCAACAACUGGUAUUUGACGCUUUUACCACUGACGCCACUCUGCGUGCAAGAGCUCUGGGGCCUUAGCACUAAUGACUACCCGUAUGAUGGUUACUUGUCGUUGAAGCUGGAGUUUUCAGAGGCAGAUGUGGGAGUAGCUGAGAUCCUUGAUAUAUUAGUGUUAGUUUGUCUGGACCCAUUCAAGAAGGGCAAAGCUUCAAUUAUUGUGGGAACAAAUAAUCCUAUUGUGAGAGCCCCUGAAAGGAGAGAAUUGGAGACAGCUUUCCGAAAAUCUUGCCCAUUCACUCGGUGUUCAGAGCUCUUUUUGAGAAGGUGUAAGCCUACCCUAGGACCUGUUGCUUUUGUCAGCCAAGAGUCUGUCACCCACUGAGCGAAACUACCCACACACAAAUUGGAGUUUCCAGCAUUGAAGUGGCCUCUAGCAGAUAACUUAAGUGAUUAUCUAUAUGGUGCCAAACUCGAAGUGAGGAUGGACUCCACUGCCUUAUAUCCUGACCCUGGCGAAAUUGGAUGCCACAAGCCAUCAGUGGUUGGCGGUGUUGUCUGCCUGUGAUUUCAACCUGAAGUACCAGCAGGGGAGUCGGAACAUUGAGGCAGAUGCAUUGUCCCGACGUGCAAAUGAAGGGCUGGAAGUGGACAGAGAGUGGGAGAGUGUUCCUGCACCUGGAGUUAAAGCAAUGUGCCAGUUUCCCGCCAUGAGGAACCAGAGGCAAGGUGAGGGCAGGACCGAGCAGUACAUCAUUUGAAAGCCACUGGUAGUGCUAUUCCACAAGCUUAUUGCAACCUGACCUGCUCUGAAUACGAAGCAGUUGCCUGCGUUGAGUUCUGGGGAAGUGGCUGCCGUUCAGUGAGAUGACCCUUGUAUAGGCACCGUAUGGACAGCUGUUGUGGAAGGGGAUACGGCUCGUGCUGAAAAGACGAAACACCCUGCCAUACCUCUACUGCUGAGAGAAAGGAACAAACUGGAGUUGAGGAACCAGGUUCUGUACCGGGUCACGUCUCCUCCAUUCCCAGUUGAUUUUGCCUGAGAAGCAUCGGAGGAUUGUGUUGGAGUCACUUCAUGAAGAUUCAAGUCACUUGGGGUUUGACAAGAUCUAUGGAUUGGUCCAGGAUCGGUCCUACUGGCCCCGAAUGAAGCUGGAGAUGGAAGAAUACGUAAGUCGUGCGUUCGAAGUACUUGGAGAAAGAUGCUGCCUGUGGGCCGUUCCUUUACCUCAUUUGCAGAAUGUGGGCCACUUGAACUAGUUUGUAUGGAUUUCCUCUGCAUAGAGCCUGAUUCCAGAAACACAGCGAACGCCUUGGUUUUUACCGAUCACUACACCAGAUAUGCUCAAGCCUUCCCUACAAAGGAUCAGAGGGAGUCUACUGUGGCCUAAGUGUUAUGGGAAAAGCAUUUUGUUCAUUAUGGCUUUCCCAGACAGAUACACAGCGAUCCGGAAGGGAUUUUGGGAGUAGGCUCAUAAAUGAAUUUCUGAGCAUGAUUGGAGUCGAGGAGGUGUAUACUGUACCUUAUCACCCUCAGGGUGAUUCACAGCCCAACAGGCUCAAUGGGACAUUGCUAGACAUGCUUGGAACCCGGGAUCUCAGCAAGAAGAACAAAUGAAGUCAGCCUAUUGGGCACCUGGUUCAUUGCUACAACUGUACACAAAAUGAAGCUACCGGAUAAUCGCCAUAUUGUUUGCUGUUUGAGCACAAAGCAAGAUUGACUGCAGACCUCUGUUUUGGGACUGGUGGGAAAGACUUGCCAUACAGAAGAUUUAUCUUCAGUAUGUGUUUGACAUGAGGACAGAAUUAUAAAAGGCUUAUGAACUAGCAGAGGUCUCUGCUACUAAGCAGAAUCAAAGAACUAAGGGAGAUAUGAUCAAACGAUUAGGUUCUCCCAGAUGAUGCCUGGAGACAAGAGUUCUCACAAGGAAUGUGGGGCUACCAGGGAAGCAGAAGUUGUCUGACUGCUGGGUGGCCAAGCCUCACGUGGUGGAGAUCCAGAUGCCAAAUGUGCCAGUUUUCUGGGUGAAACCAAAAGACAGGAAUGGACCUGUCAAAAUUCUCCAUCGGAACUACCUUUUACCUCUAGGACAAGAGGUACAUGUUGAUCCCAAACCUGUUAUGGACCCUACACCUAGUAGGAAGACACUGCAGCAACGUAGGAGAACAACAAGACAGUCAGUGGAGGGAUUUGAAGGUGACUUAAUUGCUGAAUGUGUACGGAAUCAGAGGAUGAGGAAAUAGAGGUGUGGUAUAUGUUACCCUUUGCAAACUCCCCAACAAUUGAUGAAGAGAUUCCCAAACCUCCCCAUACUGAUGCAAAUGUAGUUGGGGGGGAGGGGGACUAGCAGAGGACAGGCAGGCUUGCGGCUAGACAAUGAAGGGAAACUGGGCUCCAAAGUAACUGAGGAUGAAGCUGAACUCAGUCAGGUGACCGGAGACCUGAGCUGCCAGAAGGCACGAGUAAUGGACGGGGGGAGGCCUCUCCACGUACACAGGAAAGAUCUCAGUGAGUGUCUGAGACUGAAGUAGUAGAUGAUAGGGUAAGAAGGUCUCAAAGAGUCAAGAAACCCCUGGAAAGGCUAGGCAAUGUCACACUGGGGGAGCAGUGUGUUGUGCCUGUCUCCCAAGUGAGAUAUGUCACUACCAUUUACAAAUGGAUUGGAGGUCCUGGCAUCAUGAAAUUCUUUUGAAAACUGUGUUACUAAUGAGGAGUUGAUAAAUUUCAAAUUCAUGAAGAAUGUAACACCCUGGUAAAGAUUUUGCUGCUAAUGUUGUAGGGUAUUUCAUGUAAUGAAUGGUUUUCUGUAGAAGCAGUGUGCUCUGCUGGCAGUGUUUGGGUUACCAUUAAAGAUAAGGGAAUGUUGUGUCUUCCAGUCAGGAAGGUUCUAGAGAACGCUGGGGGAGAGGUUUUCGUGAUGGACACUGAGGUGAGUCAAGGUCUUUUUCGGCGAGAGAUGGAGAGAGAAGCAGCUCGGGAGAACUGGCUGUAGAAUUCGAUCCAGCAGGAAUGCACAAUCCAAUGGAGCCCAAGAGGGGAAAUUCUAUCGGUGGGGUCUUUGAUUAUGCUGGCUGCUUUCCCGAGACAGUGAGAAGUAAAGAAGUCCACGGAAAAGAAGCUCAUUUCCAAGAAGUGCUGAGCCAUGACCACAACUCUCUGCGGCUUCCUGCUGUCGUGGGCAGAGCAGUUACCAUGCUGCACCAGGAUAGGAUGCAUCCUAUGGCACAUCGAUAAAACUGAUGUUGCCUGACCUGCAAAGUUCCUCCAGCAUUUUGUGUAUGUCGCUCUGGAUUUCCAGCAUCUGCAAGAUCUCGUGUUUAAAGCUUACUUGGUCAGGUACAUGAUGGGAAAGGUUUAGAAGCUAGCAGCUAUAUUUCAUGACGAGUUCGUAUGUCAACAAAGAUUCCAGCAAAUUUCUACAGAUACACCAAGGAGAGCUUUCUAACUGGGGUGUUGCAUCACUGUGCCAAUGCACAAGAACAGAAAAAGCUACAGAGUGUUGUAAGCUCAGCCAGCUCCAUCACAGGCACUAGCCUCUCCACUGUCGAGGACACGGUCAAAAGAGCAAUGCUUCAGGAAGGCAGCAUCCAUCAUGAAGGACCCCGACCAUCCAGGAUAUGCCCUCUUCUCAUCAGAGCCUGAAGACACACACUCAACAUUUUAUGAACUGCUUCUUCCCUUCUGCCAUCAGAUUUCUGAAUGGUCCAUGAAUCCAUAAACAUUACCUCACUGUAGUUGCAUGACAUAAUUAUAUAUUUUUAUUGUAAUUUAUAGUAUAUCUUAUAUAUUGCAUUGUACUGCUCCAUAAAGCAACAAAUUUCAUGACAUAUAUCAGUGAUAAUAAACCUGAUUCUUAACCUUAUUUUACAGUGGCUUACUGACAAAAGCUCCCAAAAUCCAGAUCCAAGCCCCUGAUGACAUUUCCUGCAAUGUGGCAGAACUGGUUUUUCAUUCAAUUCUUCCCUAAGGCUCACAGAGUGCUCACAAAACUCUGUUUUAGCGCCUGACCUCCAUCUGGCACUCUUAAUCAUGAGCUCACUGCUUGACAAAUAUUAGAACUCUUCAUGGAAGAACUAGUAGACAGAAUGCAUUCGAAUAUGCAGAAGACAUUUAAUGUCACCAAAACAGAAGAGCUGGUCACCAACUUUAGGAUGAGGUCAGUGCACACGCCUGUUUACAUCAACGAUGCAGAGGUUGACAGGGCUGGGAUUUUCAAGUUCCUGGGCCAGUAGCCUAUCCUGGUCCAACCAUACUCAAGAAAGCUCAGCAAACCCUCUACUUCCUCAGGAGGCUAAAGGAAUUUGGCACGUAUCUACCUAUUUUUACUGAUGCAGCAUAAAAAAACAUCCUAUCUCAAUGCAUCACGGCAUCGAAUGGCAACUGCUCUGACCAUGACCACUCUGAAAUUUCACGUUAUUGUUUUUACCUACACUGCAAUUUCUCUGUAGCUGGUGCAUUUUAUGCUGCAUCUGCUAUUGUUCUAGCUCAACGCACCAUGUAAUGAUAGGUCUGCAUGAGCAAUAUGCAAGACAAGAUUUUCAUUGGACCUCUGUACAUGUGACAAUAAUAAACCAAUUCCAAUCCAGAACUGAGAUAUCAAGAUGUCUUUAUACAAAACACAAAAUUAACAUGCUCGUACUCCAAUCCAGAACCGAGGGAUCGCGUCUUGGCACAGAACACAAUUAUUAGCAUGCUGAAACGCUAAGCAAUUAGGAAGCUUAAUAGAACAUUGGCCUUUAUUACAAUUGGGUGAAGUAAAAAGAUGGAGCUAGUCAAGCUAAAACUGCAGUGGAGAGACCACACCUACAUUGCUGUUUCUUGAUCUGGUCUCUUUAGAACAUAAAACACUACAGCACAGUACAGGUCCUUUGGCCCAUGAUGUUGUGCCAACCUUUUAACCUCCUCAAAGAUCAAUCUAAUGCUUCCCUCCUACAUAGCCCUCCAUUUUUCUAUCAUCUAUUUGUCUACCUAAGAGUCUCUUCAAAAUCCAUAAUGUAUCUGCUUCUACCAUCACCCCGGCAGAGUGUUCCACACACUCACCACUCUCUCGGUGUAAAAAAAACUUACCUCUGACAUCCCCCCCUAUACUUUCCUCCAAUCACCUUAAAAUUAUGUGUUCACAAUUUUGCCAUGGUUGCUCUGGGAAAAGACGCUGGCUGUCCUUAGGUAUAAAGGGAUUACUUGGAUUGGAUACAGUUCAGGGAAAAUUCAGAGUGUUGACAGGAUGUUCAAUGAAGGAGAUGUCUGAAGGAGAAACACAGAGACGGCUGAUGUGACCUCACUGAAGUUUGAAGGAAAGAGAGGCUACCUUAUUGUAACACAAGAGUCAAGCCGGAUGCUGAGAGAAUGUUGCCCCUAUUGAAAGCAUGUAGAAUUGGAAGGGCAUAGUUUCAGUCCAUUUCACACAGACACAAGGAGGAAUUUCUCUCCUCAAAUCAAGAGACUUUGCAGUCCUUUAUCCCAGACAGCUAGGGGGUGGAAUCAUGGAAUACGUUCAGGGUAGGGACAUGUGGAUAUUUGGUCUACAGAGGAGGCAAGUGAUAUGAAAGUGGAACUGAAGCAAAGUUCAACUCUGCCAUAUUCUUACUGAAUAGCACCCCAGCCCUACUCACACUCCUGGUCUUUAUGCUCCAUGUUCAUUACCAUGGUGGGAAUAGUUUUGUGCAUUGUAAUCUCUGCAUUUAAACAGCACAUUCUUUUCUUUCUAACAAAGUUGCUGGCACACACUGCAAACUCAGGCCUGAGACACUAAACCACCAUCAUCCCACCUGUAAAACAGCACAAUUAUACCAAGCAUUUCACAGGACCAUUAAAAAACAAUAACUUACUUUUGGAAAUACAAGUAGUGCCUCGUUGACUGUGGGGUUAUAUAGAUGCAAGUAUUUAUAUUCAUGAGGAUAGGACACAUUACAUU